GGGGGCGUCUUGGUUUCGACGGGUUUAUUCGAGCUUUUAGCUGCAUGUGGAGGAUUUCUGGUUUAACCUCCUUAAUCAUCCGGGAAACAACCUUAAAUGCCGAUUACGGCUACGCUGCUGCCGCUUAAUUGACGGUAGCUAUCUCUUAACGGGCGCGUUUACCGCCUGUUUCUGAGAUAUCAUUAAAAGUAAACUGCUCCAACUCUGCGCCUGGUAGUGUUGGUCAAGAACCCUUAGGGGUACAGGCUGGUCUGAUGUGACUGGGGCUGUUCACAAUCAUUAGAUAAGACCUUGAACACAGCCUAAACAUGUAGACGCUGACUGAACGAUUUAUUCGGACGGGAGUUCAACUCUCCCCGCCUCCACAA
Molecule: transfer-messenger RNA, 368 nt
Filed under: bacterium
Lineage: Bacteria
Also listed under: 1 other name
Description: D37C17 sp014381415 Standard tmRNA
Rfam family: transfer-messenger RNA
About the family: Bacterial tmRNA, also known as 10Sa RNA or SsrA, is named for its dual tRNA and mRNA-like properties. Its role is to liberate the mRNA from a stalled ribosome.
Source: RNAcentral